GCAAGUCGAGGGGCAGCACGAGAGCUUGCACUUUGAUGACGACCGGCGCACGGGUGAGUAACGCGUAUACAAUCUGCCUCAUACUAGGGGAUAGCCCAGAGAAAUUUGGAUUAAUACCCUAUAGUAUCAUUUAGAGUCAUCUCUUUAUGAUUAAAGGUUACGGUAUGAGAUGAGUAUGCGUUCUAUUAGUUAGUAGGUGAGGUAACGGCUCACCUAGACCACGAUAGAUAGGGGCCCUGAGAGGGGGAUC
Molecule: ribosomal RNA, 250 nt
Filed under: uncultured bacterium
Lineage: Bacteria
Description: partial 16S ribosomal RNA
Rfam family: Bacterial small subunit ribosomal RNA
Source: RNAcentral